RNAcentral lists this ribosomal RNA (996 nucleotides) under Phialemonium atrogriseum. RNAcentral's name for it is "partial large subunit ribosomal RNA". It matches the Rfam family "Eukaryotic large subunit ribosomal RNA", at positions 1 to 1026 of the family's 3401-position model. The record is from RNAcentral. Lineage: Eukaryota; Fungi; Ascomycota; Sordariomycetes; Cephalothecales; Cephalothecaceae.
GGUUGACCUCGGAUCAGGUAGGACUACCCGCUGAACUUAAGCAUAUCAAUAAGCGGAGGAAAAGAAACCAACAGGGAUUGCCCUAGUAACGGCGAGUGAAGCGGCAACAGCUCGAAUUUGAAAUCUGGCCUCGGCCCGAGUUGUAAUCUGUAGAGGACGCUUUUGGCGCGGUGCCUUCCGAGUUCCCUGGAACGGGACGCCACAGAGGGUGAGAGCCCCGUAAGGUCGGACACCAAGCCUGUGUAAAGCCCCUUCGACGAGUCGAGUAGCUUGGGAAUGCUGCUCUAUGCGGGAGGUAUACUUUUUCUAAAGCUAAAUAUUGGCCAGAGACCGAUAGCGCACAAGUAGAGUGAUCGAAAGAUGAAAAGCACUUUGAAAAGAGGGUCAAAUAGUACGUGAAAUUGUUGAAAGGGAAGCGCUUGUGAUCAGACUCGCGCCGGGCGGAUCAUCCAGUGGUCUCCACUGGUGCACUCCGGCCGGCGCGGGCCAGCGUCGGCUGUUGCGGGGGGACAAAAGCUCUGGGAACGUAGCUCUCUCCGGGGAGUGUUAUAGCCCUCUGCAGAAUACCCCCGCGGCGGCCGAGGUCCGCGCAUUGCAAGGACGCUGGCGUAAUGGUCAUCAGCGACCCGUCUUGAAACACGGACCAAGGAGUCGAGGUUUUGCGCGAGUGUUCGGGUGCAAAGCCCCAACGCGUAAUUAACGUGAACGUAGGUGAGAGCUUCGGCGCAUCAUCGACCGAUCCUGAUGUAUUCGGAUGGAUUUGAGUAGGAGCGUAAAGCCUCGGACCCGAAAGAUGGUGAACUAUGCCUGUAUAGGGUGAAGCCAGAGGAAACUCUGGUGGAGGCUCGCAGCGGUUCUGACGUGCAAAUCGAUCGUCAAAUAUGGGCAUGGGGGCGAAAGACUAAUCGAACCAUCUAGUAGCUGGUUACCGCCGAAGUUUCCCUCAGGAUAGCAGUGUUGUUCUUCAGUUUUAUGAGGUAAAGCGAAUGAUUAGGG